This 425-nucleotide ribosomal RNA is filed under the name uncultured bacterium. Its description in RNAcentral is "partial 16S ribosomal RNA". It matches the Rfam family "Bacterial small subunit ribosomal RNA", at positions 354 to 796 of the family's 1533-position model. The record is from RNAcentral.
GUGGGGAAUCUUAGACAAUGGGGGAAACCCUGAUCUAGCCAUGCCGCGUGAGCGAUGAAGGCCUUAGGGUUGUAAAGCUCUUUCAGCUGGGAAGAUAAUGACGGUACCAGCAGAAGAAGCCCCGGCUAACUCCGUGCCAGCAGCCGCGGUAAUACGGAGGGGGCUAGCGUUGUUCGGAAUUACUGGGCGUAAAGCGCACGUAGGCGGAUCAGAAAGUCAGAGGUGAAAUCCCAGGGCUCAACCUUGGAACUGCCUUUGAAACUCCUGGUCUUGAGGUCGAGAGAGGUGAGUGGAAUUCCGAGUGUAGAGGUGAAAUUCGUAGAUAUUCGGAGGAACACCAGUGGCGAAGGCGGCUCACUGGCUCGAUACUGACGCUGAGGUGCGAAAGCGUGGGGAGCAAACAGGAUUAGAAACCCCUGUAGUCC